UGGGGAAUUUUGCGCAAUGGGCGAAAGCCUGACGCAGCAACGCCGCGUGGAGGAUGAAGGUCUUUGGAUUGUAAACUUCUGUUGAUCGGGAAGAAAAGUCAAUGGUUAAUACCCAUUGUAAUGACGUUACCGAUAAAGAAAGCACCGGCUAAUCUCGUGCCAGCAGCCGCGGUAAUACGAGAGGUGCAAGCGUUAUUCGGAAUUAUUGGGCGUAAAGGGCGCGUAGGCGGUGUUAUAAGUUUUUUGUUUAAUUCUUUGGCUUAACCAAAGGCAUGCGAAAAAGACUGUAAUGCUAGAGUAUAAUAGAGAGAAGUGGAAUUUUCGGAGUAGCGGUUAAAUGCGUAGAUCUCGAAAGGAACGCCAAUGGCGAAGGCAGCUUCUUGGGUUAUUACUGACGCUGAGGCGCGAAGGCGUGGGGAGCAAACAGG
Molecule: ribosomal RNA, 428 nt
Filed under: uncultured bacterium
Lineage: Bacteria
Description: bacterial SSU rRNA
Rfam family: Bacterial small subunit ribosomal RNA
Source: RNAcentral